UGGGGAAUCUUGGACAAUGGGCGCAAGCCUGAUCCAGCCAUGCCGCGUGAGUGACGAAGGUCUUCGGAUUGUAAAGCUCUUUUUGGCGGGGACGAUAAUGACGGUACCCGCAGAAUAAGCCCCGGCUAACUCCGUGCCAGCAGCCGCGGUAAUACGUAGGGUGCGAGCGUUAAUCGGAAUUACUGGGCGUAAAGCGUGCGCAGGCGGUUUGGUAAGACAGAUGUGAAAUCUCCGAGCUUAACUCGGAACGGUCAACUGAUACUGUCAAACUAGAGUACAGAAGGGGCAAUCGGAAUUCUUGGUGUAGCGGUGAAAUGCGUAGAUAUCAAGAGGAACACCUGAGGCGAAGGCGGGUUGCUGGGCUGAUACUGACGCUGAAGCGCGAAAGCUAGGGUAGCAAACGGGAUUAGAUACCCAAGUAGUCCCUGAGCGGGCUGGCAAGGCGCAU
This 448-nucleotide ribosomal RNA is filed under the name uncultured bacterium. Its description in RNAcentral is "bacterial SSU rRNA". It matches the Rfam family "Bacterial small subunit ribosomal RNA", at positions 355 to 825 of the family's 1533-position model. The record is from RNAcentral.